GAAUCUUGGUCAAUGGGCGCAAGCCUGAACCAGCGACGCCGCGUGAGUGAUGAAGGCCUUCGGGUUGUAAAGCUCUGUGGGGAGGGACGAAAGUGCACGUGUCGAAUAGGCAUGUGUUUUGACGGUACCUCCUUAGCAAGCACCGGCUAACUCUGUGCCAGCAGCCGCGGUAAGACAGAGGGUGCAAACGUUGCUCGGAAUCACUGGGCGUAAAGCGCGUGUAGGCGGACACGUAAGUCAGAUGUGAAAGCCCUGGGCUCAACCCAGGAACUGCAUUUGAAACUGUGUGUCUUGAGUGUUGGAGAGGAAAGCGGAAUUCCUGGUGUAGAGGUGAAAUUCGUAGAUAUCAGGAGGAACACCGGCGGCGAAGGCGGCUUUCUGGACAACUACUGACGCUGAGACGCGAAAGCGUGGGGAGCAAACAGGA
RNAcentral lists this ribosomal RNA (427 nucleotides) under uncultured bacterium. RNAcentral describes it as "bacterial SSU rRNA". It matches the Rfam family "Bacterial small subunit ribosomal RNA", at positions 359 to 777 of the family's 1533-position model. The record is from RNAcentral.